GGUGGGGUCUAUAAUGGGCUUCUAUGGGGGGGUCUAUAUGGGGGGGUCUAUAAUGGGGUUCUAUGGGGGGGUCUAUAAUGGGGUCCUAUGGGGGAGGUCUAUAUGGGCUGAUCUAUAAUGGGGUUCUAUGGGGUGGGUCUGUAAUGGGGUUCUAUGGGGUGGGUCUAUAAUGGGGUUCUAUGGGGUGGGUUUAUAUGGGGUGGGUCUAUAUGGGGUUCUAUGGGGGGGUCUAAAAUGGGGUCCUAUGGGGGAGGUCUAUAUGGGCUGAUCUAUAAUGGGGUGUCUAUGGGGUGGGGUCUAUAAUGGGGUUCUAUGGGGUGUGGGUUUAUAAUGGGGUUCUAUGGGGUGGGUCUAUAAUGGGGUUCUAUGAGGGGGGGUCUAUAAGUGGGGUCUAUGGGGGGGUCUAUAAUGGGGUUCUAUGGGGGGGUCUAAAAUGGGGUCCUAUGGGGGAGAUCUAUAUGGGCUGAUCUAUAAUGGGGUUCUAUGGGGUGGGUCUAUAAUGGGGUUCUAUGGGGUUGGUCUAUAAUGGGGUUCUAUGGGGUGGGUCUAUAUGGGGUUCUAUGGGGGGGUCCAUAAUGGGGUGUCUAUGUGGGUUCCUAUGUGUCCCCCUUUAGGGCUGUCUGUCCUCCUGCCACCAGGGGGCGCCGUUGGGUCCCUUUGUAUCCGGGCGCUGGUUGAGUCCUCCAGGCCUCCACGAGGCCCCGUGCUACGAGGCGGCCACAGGCCGGAUGUUGGGCUCGGUGCUGUGGGGGGGGCCCGAUGAAGUGGAGGCCGCCAUCUUGGCGGCGGAAGAGGCGGCUGUUGAAUGGGGGUCAAUGGAGGCGGAGGAGAGAGCACAGAGACUGGAGUGGCUGGCUGAGGAGCUGGAGCGGAAGGCGGAAGCGGAGGCCGUCUCUAUGGGGCGGCCAUGUUGGGCCGGGGCCGGAAGUGACGUCGAUCUGGGGGUCAGGAUGAUCCGGGCGGCGGCGGCGGCCAUUACUGCCCCUCCCCCACAGCUGGAAGGGAGGGGGGCCAGGGGUGAGGAGGGGGGGGGCAAGAUGGCGGCGGUCACGUGAUCAGGGGUGAGGAGGGAGGGGCAAGAUGGCGGCGGUCACGUGAUCAGGGGUGAGGAGGGAGGGGCAAGAUGGCGGCGGUCACGUGACCAGAGGUGAGAAGGGGGGGGCAAGAUGGCGGGUAGUCACGUGGUCAGGGCCCCUCCACCAAUAGCUGGAAGGAGGGGGGGAAUUCAAGAUGGCGGUGGUCACGUGGUCAGGAGUGACGAGGGGGACAAGAUGGCGGUGGUCACGUGAUCAGAAGUGAAAAGAAGGGGCAAGAUGGCGGCGAUCACGUGGGCCCUCGAGUGGUUGGGGGUGGCAAGAUGGCGGUGGUCACGUGGUCAGGGCCCCUCCACCAAUAGCUGGAAGGAGGGAUGUUCAAGAUGGCGGGUGGUCACGUGAUCAGGGCUCCUCCACCAAUAGCUGGGGGGUCAAGAUGGCGGAGUGUCACGUGGUCGGGGUCCUUCCACCAAUAGCUGGAAGGGAUGGGAGGCAAGAUGGCGGGUGAUCACGUGGUCAGGGCUCAUCCAAUAGCUGGGGGCGCGGGGGGGGGGCAAGAUGGCGGAGGGUCACGUGAUCAAGGCCCCUCCACCAAUAGCUGGAAGGAGGGGGAUUCAAGAUGGCGGGGGUCACGUGAUCAAAGUCUUUCCACCAAUAAGUGGAAGGGAGAAGGGUGCAAGAUGGCGGUGGUCACGUGGUCAAGGGUUUUCCACCAAUAGCUGGAAGGGAUUGGAUUAAAGAUGGCGGGUGAUCACGUGAUCAAGGCCCCUCUAGCAAUAGGUGGAAGGGGGGCAAGAUGGCGGGUGGUCACGUGAUCAGAGUCCCUCCACCAAUAGCUGGAAGGGAUGGGAUUCAAGAUGGCGGGUGAUCACGUGAUCAAGGUCCCUCCACCAAUAGGUGGAAGAGAUGGGAGGCAAGAUGGCGGUGGUCACGUGAUCAGGGCUCCUCCCCCAGGAAGGGGGCAAGAUGGCGGUGAUCACGUGAUCAAAUUCCCUCCACCAAUAGCUGGAAGGGAUAGGAG
This 2055-nucleotide long non-coding RNA is filed under the name Coturnix japonica (Japanese quail). RNAcentral's name for it is "lncRNA (ENSCJPG00005002838.1)". The record is from RNAcentral. Lineage: Eukaryota; Metazoa; Chordata; Aves; Galliformes; Phasianidae.